RNAcentral lists this ribosomal RNA (507 nucleotides) under uncultured bacterium. RNAcentral describes it as "partial 16S ribosomal RNA". It matches the Rfam family "Bacterial small subunit ribosomal RNA", at positions 28 to 507 of the family's 1533-position model. The record is from RNAcentral.
GACGAACGCUGGCGGCGUGCUUAACACAUGCCAGUCGAACGGGCCUUGUCCCCUUUUUUUUGGGGGUGGGGUUAGUGGCGAACGGGUGAGUAACACGUGAGUAACCUGCCCCUCACUUCUGGAUAACCGCUUGAAAGGGUGGCUAAUACGGGGUGUUCUGGCCUGCUCGCAUGGGUGGGUUUGGAAAGAUUCGACCGGUUUUGGUUGUGUUGGUGGGGGAUGGGCUCGCGGCCUAUCAGCUUGUUGGUGGGGGGAUGGCCUGCCAAGGCUUUGACGGGUAGCCGGCCUGAGAGGGUGGGCGGUCACACUGGGACUGAGACACGGCCCAGACUCCUACGGGAGGCAGCAGUGGGGAAUAUUGCACAAUGGGCGCAAGCCUGAUGCAGCGACGCCGCGUGAGGGAUGGAGGCCUUCGGGUUGUGAACCUCUUUCGCCAGUGAAGAAGGUCCUGCUCUUUGUGGUGGGGUUGACGGUAGCUGGGUUAAUGAAGCGCCGGCUAACUACGUG